CACGUAGGGCGCGAGCGUUGUCCGGAAUUAUUGGGCGUAAAGAGCUCGUAGGCGGCCUGUUGCGUCCGCUGUGAAAGCCCGGGGCUUAACCCCGGGUCGGCAGUGGAUACGGGCAGGCUAGAGGUAGGUAGGGGAGAAUGGAAUUCCCGGUGUAGCGGUGAAAUUCGUAGAUAUCGGGAGGAACACCGGUGGCGAAGGCGGCGACCUGGGUAGAUACUGACGCUGAGGUGCGAAAGCGUGGGGAGCAAACAGG
This 253-nucleotide ribosomal RNA is filed under the name uncultured bacterium. Its description in RNAcentral is "partial 16S ribosomal RNA". It matches the Rfam family "Bacterial small subunit ribosomal RNA", at positions 524 to 776 of the family's 1533-position model. The record is from RNAcentral.